This 305-nucleotide ribosomal RNA is filed under the name uncultured bacterium. RNAcentral's name for it is "bacterial SSU rRNA". It matches the Rfam family "Bacterial small subunit ribosomal RNA", at positions 337 to 639 of the family's 1533-position model. The record is from RNAcentral.
CCCUACGGGGGGCAGCAGUGAGGAAUAUUGGUCAAUGGGCUUACGCCUGAACCAGCCAAGUCGCGUGAGGGAAGACUGCCCUAUGGGUUGUAAACCUCUUUUGUCAGGGAGCAACGCCGGCUACGUGUAGCCGGACUGAGAGUACCUGAAGAAAAAGCAUCGGCUAACUCCGUGCCAGCAGCCGCGGUAAUACGGAGGAUGCGAGCGUUAUCCGGAUUUAUUGGGUUUAAAGGGUGCGUAGGCGGAAUGCCAAGUCAGCGGUAAAAUCGCGGGGCUCAACCUCGUCGAGCCGUUGAAACUGGGUG